RNAcentral lists this ribosomal RNA (253 nucleotides) under uncultured bacterium. RNAcentral's name for it is "partial 16S ribosomal RNA". It matches the Rfam family "Bacterial small subunit ribosomal RNA", at positions 524 to 776 of the family's 1533-position model. The record is from RNAcentral.
UACGUAGGGACCAAGCGUUGUUCGGAUUUACUGGGCGUAAAGGGCGCGUAGGCGGCAUGACAAGUCACUUGUGAAAUCUCCGGGCUUAACUCGGAACGGUCAAGUGAUACUGUCGCGCUAGAGUGCGGAAGGGGCAAUCAGAAUUCUUGGUGUAGCGGUGAAAUGCGUAGAUAUCAAGAGGAAUACCUGAGGUGAAGACGGGUUGCUAGGCCGACACUGACGCUGAAGCGCGAAAGCCAGGGGAGCAAACAGG